Molecule: long non-coding RNA, 94 nt
Organism: Mycetomoellerius zeteki
Lineage: Eukaryota; Metazoa; Arthropoda; Insecta; Hymenoptera; Formicidae
Exons: 3
Source: RefSeq, a predicted model, not a curated record
UUCAUAUAAAAGCUGUGCAAUCUGUAUUUACAAAAUAGUAGUCCAACAGAUUAGUACUUUGCACGAAGAAACAAAAAGAGUUUUUAAAAUUGAA